AGGACGAACGCUGGCGGCGUGCCUAAUACAUGCAAGUCGAGCGAACCGAUGGAGUGCUUGCAUUCCUGAGGUUAGCGGCGGACGGGUGAGUAACACGUAGGCAACCUGCCUGUACGACCGGGAUAACUCCGGGAAACCGGAGCUAAUACCGGAUAGGAUGCCGAACCGCAUGGUUCGGCAUGGAAAGGCCUUUGAGCCGCGUACAGAUGGGCCUGCGGCGCAUUAGCUAGUUGGUGGGGUAACGGCCUACCAAGGCGACGAUGCGUAGCCGACCUGAGAGGGUGAACGGCCACACUGGGACUGAGACACGGCCCAGACUCCUACGGGAGGCAGCAGUAGGGAAUCUUCCGCAAUGGACGAAAGUCUGACGGAGCAACGCCGCGUGAGUGAGGAAGGUCUUCGGAUCGUAAAACUCUGUUGUCAGGGAAGAACCGCCGGGAUGACCUCCCGGUCUGACGGUACCUGACGAGAAAGCCCCGGCUAACUACGUGCCAGCAGCCGCGGUAAUACGUAGGGGGCAAGCGUUGUCCGGAAUUAUUGGGCGUAAAGCGCGCGCAGGCGGCUUCUUAAGUCAGGUGUGAAAGCCCACGGCUCAACCGUGGAGGGCCAUCUGAAACUGGGGAGCUUGAGUGCAGGAGAGGAGAGCGGAAUUCCACGUGUAGCGGUGAAAUGCGUAGAGAUGUGGAGGAACACCAGUGGCGAACGCGGCUCUCUGGCCUGUAACUGACGCUGAUGCUCCAAAGCGUGUCGAGCAUACAGGAUUACAUACCCUGGUAGACCACUCCGCAUAC
RNAcentral lists this ribosomal RNA (791 nucleotides) under Aneurinibacillus sp. RNAcentral describes it as "bacterial SSU rRNA". It matches the Rfam family "Bacterial small subunit ribosomal RNA", at positions 26 to 807 of the family's 1533-position model. The record is from RNAcentral. Lineage: Bacteria; Bacillati; Bacillota; Bacilli; Caryophanales; Paenibacillaceae.